AUCGUUCAACUCUUCGGAGUCGGAAGUAAGCGAAAGCUGAAGGAACGCAAC
Molecule: non-coding RNA, 51 nt
Submitted as: unclassified sequences
Source: Rfam